RNAcentral lists this ribosomal RNA (208 nucleotides) under uncultured bacterium. RNAcentral describes it as "partial 16S ribosomal RNA". It matches the Rfam family "Bacterial small subunit ribosomal RNA", at positions 568 to 774 of the family's 1533-position model. The record is from RNAcentral.
UGCGUAGGCGGGUCUUUAAGUCAGGGGUGAAAUCCUGGAGCUCAACUCCAGAACUGCCUUUGAUACUGAAGAUCUUGAGUUCGGGAGAGGUGAGUGGAACUGCGAGUGUAGAGGUGAAAUUCGUAGAUAUUCGCAAGAACACCAGUGGCGAAGGCGGCUCACUGGCCCGAUACUGACGCUGAGGCACGAAAAGCGUGGGGAGCAAACA